GACGAACGCUGGCGGCGUGCUUAACACAUGCAAGUCGAACGGAAAGGCCCUGCUUUUGUGGGGUGCUCGAGUGGCGAACGGGUGAGUAACACGUGAGUAACCUGCCCUUGUCUUUGGGAUAACUUCAGGAAACUGGGGCUAAUACCGGAUAGGAGCUCCUGCUGCAUGGUGGGGGUUGGAAAGUUUCGGCGGUUGGGGAUGGACUCGCGGCUUAUCAGCUUGUUGGUGGGGUAGUGGCUUACCAAGGCUUUGACGGGUAGCCGGCCUGAGAGGGUGACCGGCCACAUUGGGACUGCGAUACGGCCCAGACUCCUACGGUAGGCAGCAGUGGGGAAUAUUGCACAAUGGGCGGAAGCCUGAUGCAGCAACGCCGCGUUCGGGAUGACGGCCUUCGGGUUGUAAACCUCUUUCUCCUGUGACGAAGCGUGAGUGACGGUAAUGGGUAAAAAAGCACCGGCUAACUACGUG
RNAcentral lists this ribosomal RNA (468 nucleotides) under uncultured bacterium. RNAcentral's name for it is "partial 16S ribosomal RNA". It matches the Rfam family "Bacterial small subunit ribosomal RNA", at positions 28 to 507 of the family's 1533-position model. The record is from RNAcentral.